CCUUCGAUAGCUCAGUUGGUAGAGCGGAGGACUGUAGGUUGAUAAUUACAGGCAUCCUUAGGUCGCUGGUUCAAUUCUGGCUCAAAGGA
Molecule: transfer RNA, 89 nt
Filed under: Perca flavescens (yellow perch)
Lineage: Eukaryota; Metazoa; Chordata; Actinopteri; Perciformes; Percidae
Rfam family: tRNA
About the family: Transfer RNA (tRNA) molecules are approximately 80 nucleotides in length. Their secondary structure includes four short double-helical elements and three loops (D, anti-codon, and T loops).
Source: Rfam by way of RNAcentral